AGAGUUUGAUCCUGGCUCAGAAUGAACGCUGGCGGCGUGCCUAACACAUGCAAGUCGUACGAGAAAGGGGCUUCGGCCCUGAGUAGAGUGGCGCACGGGUGAGUAACGCGUGGGUAAUCUGCCCUUGGAUUUGGAAUAACUCCGCGAAAGUGGAGCUAAUACCGGAUAGUCUGGCUUUUAAUAGAAGUCGGUAAAGGAUGCCUCUGCAUAUGCAUUCGUCCGAGGAUGAGCCCGCGUCUCAUUAGCUAGUUGGUAGGGUAAUGGCCUACCAAGGCAACGAUGAGUAGCUGGUCUGAGAGGAUGAUCAGCCACACUGGAACUGAAACACGGCCCAGACUCCUACGGGAGGCAGCAGUGAGGAAUUUUGCGCAAUGGGGGAAACCCUGACGCAGCAACGCUGCGUGAGUGAUGAAGGCCUUCGGGUCGUAAAGCUCUGUCAAGUGGGAAGAACCUGCAUUGGGUUAACAUCUCAGUGCACUGACGGUACCACUGAAGGAAGCACCGGCUAACUCCGUGCCAGCAGCCGCGGUAAUACGGAGGGUGCAAGCGUUAUUCGGAAUUAUUGGGCGUAAAGGGCGCGUAGGCGGCCGUUUAAGUCAGGUGUGAAAGCCCGGGGCUUAACCCCGGAAGUGCAUUUGAUACUGAGCGGCUUGAGUAUGGGAGAGGGAAGUGGAAUUCCUGGUGUAGAGGUGAAAUUCGUAGAUAUCAGAGGAACACCGGUGGCGAAGGCGACUUCCUGGACCAAUACUGACGCUGAGGCGCGAANGCGUGGGGAUCAAACAGAUUAGAUACCNUGGUAGUCCACGCAGUAAACGGUGAUCACUAGGUGUAACGGGUAUUGACCCCUGCUGUGCCGCAGCUAACGAUUAAGUGAUCCACCCGGGGAGUACGAUCGCAA
This 898-nucleotide ribosomal RNA is filed under the name uncultured delta proteobacterium. Its description in RNAcentral is "bacterial SSU rRNA". It matches the Rfam family "Bacterial small subunit ribosomal RNA", at positions 8 to 891 of the family's 1533-position model. The record is from RNAcentral. Lineage: Bacteria; Deltaproteobacteria.